This is an RNA transcript of Solanum lycopersicum (tomato), 1353 nucleotides long. It is a transcript of the gene named WAT1-related protein At1g43650-like, with no coding region annotated. NCBI's taxonomy places the organism in Eukaryota, Viridiplantae, Streptophyta, Magnoliopsida, Solanales, Solanaceae. The record is from RefSeq and is a predicted model, not a curated record.
UUGAUGCACUAACAUGACAAGAAAACCAAAUUGAGGAGAAAAUGAAGCACUUAGUAAUUAGUUGUGCCAUGUCAAUGGAAAAACAAAAACACUACAUUGCCAUGCUCCUCACACAAGCUAUUUUUGCAGGCAUGGCUUUGUUUUCUAAAGCUGCAAUAUCUCAAGGGAUGAACCCUUAUGUUUUCGUUACUUAUCGCCAAGCAUUUGCUAUCAUUGCGUUAGCCCCCCUCGCUGCCUUCUUUGAAAGAAAAUCUGAUGUUCCUUUAUCCUACAACAUCAUGCUGAAGAUCUUCCUGAUGUCAUUACUUAGCACUCUAAGUUUGGAUCUAUACUAUUUUUCCAUACAUUACACCACAGCAACAUUUGCUGCAGCCUCCACUAACUUAAUUCCAGCCAUCACUUUUUUUAUGGCAGUAAUUUUAAGAGUGGAGGCUCUUGCAAUAAAGAAAUCACAUGGAAUGGCAAAACUGUUGGGUUCUUCAAUUGGUGUUACAGGAGCUUUGGUAUUUGCCUUAGUUAAAGGUCCACAAUUGAAUUUCAUGAAAGGGAACACAAGGGGAACUCAUAGCUCAAAUUUGAAUUAUAGUUUGAAGGAAGAGUGGUUAAAAGGUUCACUAGUCAUGGUUUUAGCUAACUUCACAUGGUCUCUAUGGCUCAUUUUACAGGUUCGUAUUGUGAAACAAUAUCCAGCAAAACUUCGUCUUGCCACUCUAUAUUGCUUGUUUAGCUGGAUACAAUCUUCAAUUUGUGCCAUGGUGAUGGAAAGGAAUAUAUCAGCAUGGAAGCUAAAAUGGGACAUUAAUCUUUUUUCAGUAGCUUAUUGUGGUUAUAUUGUUACAGGCUUGACAUAUUGGAUACAACUUUGGACUGUAGAGAAAAAAGGGCCAGUAUUUGUAUCUAUGUUCACUCCACUAUCACUCAUCAUAACUGCCAUUGUCUCAGCUUUUUUAUGGAAGGAAACACUUUACGUGGGAAGGUAACACCGCCAUUUCAAAUCAUCAAAUUAGUUCAUAUACGUAAGAGUGCUUCAUAGUGUAUGUGGAGGAAUAUUGCUAGUUGGUGGGCUUUACUUGGUCCUAUGGGGAAAGAAUAGAGAAGCAGAGAGGGAAAUAAAUCAAUAGUGAAAGAUGGAAUUAAAGUAAUUUAACAGGACAAUAUUGUAUACUCCAUGUCACAUUUAAAUGACAAAGUUAGAAUUUCAAAAAUUAAAUAAGAAAUUCUCUAUUGUUAUUUGUAUAUUCUUCGAAUAUUUUAAAUUGUUAAUUCAUAUGGCUUAUAGUACUUUUAUUUAUCAGAAACUUUAAAGAUUGUAUAUCCAAAUGAAUAGUUGAAAUAAAGAAAUUUGACUCUAAA